AGUGAACGCUGGCGGUAGGCCUAACACAUGCAAGUCGAACGGCAGCACAGUAAGAGCUUGCUCUUACGGGUGGCGAGUGGCGGACGGGUGAGGAAUACAUCGGAAUCUACUUUUUCGUGGUGGAAAACGUAGGGAGACUUACGCUAAUACUGCAUACGACCUACGGGUGAAAACAGGGGAUCUUCGGACCUGUCGCGACUGAAUUAGCAGAAGUCGGAUUAGCUAGUGGGCAGGGUAAAGGCCCACCAACGCGACGAUCCGUAGCUGGUCUGAGAGGAAGAACAGCCAGCCGGGAGCUGAGACAGGGUCCCGACUCUGACGCGAGGAAGCAGUCGGGAAUCUUGGACAAUGGGGGAAAGCCUGAUCCAGCCAUACCGCGUGAGUCAAGAAGGCCUUCCGGUUGUAAAGCCAUUUUGUUGGGAAAGAAAAGCAGCAGGUUAAUACCCCGCUGUUCUGACGGUACCCAAAGAAUAAGCACCGGCUAACUUCGUG
This 492-nucleotide ribosomal RNA is filed under the name uncultured bacterium. RNAcentral describes it as "partial 16S ribosomal RNA". It matches the Rfam family "Bacterial small subunit ribosomal RNA", at positions 29 to 507 of the family's 1533-position model. The record is from RNAcentral.